Paramuricea clavata is the source of this 1354-nucleotide non-coding RNA. NCBI's taxonomy places the organism in Eukaryota, Metazoa, Cnidaria, Anthozoa, Malacalcyonacea, Plexauridae. The record is from the annotation of a GenBank genome assembly.
GUAAAAGAGAAUAACUUUUGGUUUUGUAAUUAUAUUUUACAACAUAACGUCAUUGUAACAAGAACACAUAUUUAGUAGUAAUAGGCUAAAAAAACUUAGCAUAUACUCGAGCGUAUAAAUGGAAAUGUAGAGUGGUCCAAUAAUUACGAAAUAUAAUGACAGCGAUCACCGUGAGCGUUUAGCUUUCGCUGUCCGCCAUUUUGAACGUGGCAAAGAACCUUUACGAGUAAAUUACACCAAGUACUUCAUAUAUUUUUUGUGGAUUUGCGGAUUUUUUUGAGGAUUUUGAAGGAUUUCUGUCGAUUUUUGAAGGAUUUCUGUGGUUUUUAAAGGAUUUUUCGGAUUUUGAUGGAUUCAUCGGAUUUUGAGGAUUUCAUGGAUUUUUUCUGGAUUUUUCCCGGAUUUUUUGACGAAGUGUACGGGAUUUUUGGAGUGAAUUGCCCCUCGAAUGUAAACACCACACAUACGCCAAACGUGUCGAUUGGCCGUGUUUUAUUAUUAAUAUUGGCAUUUUUAGCGUCUGGACAAAUUAGCGAGACGAUUAUAUUUCGAUAUGACAACUAUCCAUUGUGAUUCUUUGCUAAAGGCGGCUUUCCAUUUAAGCGUUACGUUUUUCACAUGUGCAUGUCGUGCAGAAAAGUCUAAAUCUUUGAAAAUUUUAUAUCAGUACCACACAAAACUAAAUGCUGUCCGUUCGUAAUUGAUUUAAUUCUUUCAUAUAGCAACUUGUGAAUGGAUUUAAUUUUUCUGUGCGCGUACGCCUGUAUGGAAAAUGCAUAACUGGAAAGCGGUCUUAAAUGCGCCUUUUUUUUUGUUUUGACGUGUCGUACAUAGUAAGUGAUUAAUAUUUAGAUGGACUUAACUCAGACGUUUACGUUGUCUCAGACGUUAAAGUCUUCUAAUAUAGAUGUGGCCAUUAUUAUAGCAUAUUUUAAUAGAUGAAACGCAUGCGCGAAUUAGUCGUACGUUAUAUUGAUAUGUAUAUAAAGAUAAUUAUCUGUGUCAGAAACAAGUAAUAUUUAAAUUAAUAAUAAUGAGCACACAAAAACCUGUACAUGCACAAAUACAACCAUAGAUCUUGAAAGUAUUUCUUUCAUUUACAGCUAUCAUUUUAUUCUGUGAACAGAAUGUAAUAUGUAAUAAUGCAGAACAGUACAAUGUGACAUGAAAAAGGCAAAUACUUCAUGUAAGACCCACAAAACAGUUUGAGCAAAUUAUAAGGUAUUUGCAUAUGAUCAUAAAAGUUAGUCAUAACCCUAACCCUGAAGCUACACCCAUAUCUAGCUUAGGGUUAGGGUUGGAACCCUAUGGUUAGGGUUGGGGUUAACCCAAGGGUAGUAGUUGACCCUAGGGU